GACGAACGCUGGCGGCGUGCUUAACACAUGCAAGUCACGGGGGCUGGGUAACCAGCAACCGGCGAACGGGUGCGUAACACGUGACCAACCUGCCCUCGUGUGGGGGAUAGCCGGGCUAACGCCCGGGUAAUACCGCAUACGGUCCUCGAGAGGAGUCUCUUGGGGAAGAAAGCUCCGGCGCACGGGGGAGGGGGUCGCGGCCUAUCAGCUAGUUGGGGGGUACGGACCGUCCC
RNAcentral lists this ribosomal RNA (233 nucleotides) under uncultured bacterium. Its description in RNAcentral is "partial 16S ribosomal RNA". It matches the Rfam family "Bacterial small subunit ribosomal RNA", at positions 28 to 269 of the family's 1533-position model. The record is from RNAcentral.